Molecule: ribosomal RNA, 1799 nt
Filed under: Pinus taeda (loblolly pine)
Lineage: Eukaryota; Viridiplantae; Streptophyta; Pinopsida; Pinales; Pinaceae
Description: SSU rRNA
Rfam family: Eukaryotic small subunit ribosomal RNA
Source: RNAcentral
CCUGGUUGAUCCUGUCAGUAGUCAUAUUCGUGUCUCAAAUAUUAAGCCAUGCAUGUCUAAGUAUGAACUAAUUCAGACUGUGAAAUGGUGGAUGGCUCAUUAAAUCAUUUAUAGUUUUUUGAUGGUACCCUACUAAGAUAACCAUAGUAAUUCUAGAGCUAAUACGUGCACCAAGUCCAGACUCUUUGGAAGGGAUGCAUUUUCUAGAUAAAAGGUCAGUGUGGGCUUGCCCACUUCUCUGGUGAAUCAUGAUAACUCGAUGGAUCACACAACCUUUGUGCUGGCGAUGCUUCAUUCAAAUUUCUGCCCUAUCAACUUUUGAUGGUAGGAUAGAGGCCUACAAUGGUGGUGAAGGGUGAUGGAGAAUGAGGGUUCGAUUCCAGAGAGGGAGCCUAAGAAAUGGCUACCACAUCCAAGGAAGGAAUCAGGCGUGCAAAUUACCCAAUCUUGACAUGGGGAGGUAGUGACAAUAAAUAACAAUACUGGGCUCAUCAAGUCUAGUAAUUGGAAUGAGUACAAUCUAAAUCCCUUAACGAGGAUCCAUUGGAGGACAAUUGUGGUGCUAGCAGCCGUGGUAAUUCAAGCUCCAAUAACGUAUAUUUAAGUUGUUGUAGUUAAAAAUAUCGUAGUUGGAUCUUAGGUCAUAAAGGUCGGUCCUCCUACUUGGUGUGCACCUGACCUUCCAUCCCUUUUGUCAGCAGCAUGCUCCUAGCUUUAAUUGGUUGGGUCAUAGGUCCAGCACUAUUACUUUGAAAAAAUUAGAGUGCUCAAAGAAAUCAUAUUCUCUAAAUACAUUAGCAUGGAAUAACAUGAUAGGAGUCUGGUCCUAUUGUGUUGCCCUUUGAGACCAGAGUAAUGAUUAAUAGGGACUGUCGGGGGAUUCAUAUUUCAUUGUCAGAGGUGAAAUUCUUGGAUAUAUGAAAGACAGACCACUGCGAAAGAAUUUUCCAAGGAUGUUUUCAUUAAUCAAGAACAAAAGUUGGGGGCUCAAAGAUGACUAGAUACCAUCCUAGUGUUAACCAUAAACGAUGCCGACCAAGGAUCGGUGGAUGUUUUCUCUAAGGACUCUACCAACACCUUUUGAGAAAUCAGAGUGUUUGGGUUCUAGGGGAGGUUUGGUCGCAAGGAUGAAACUUAAAGAAAUUGAUGGAAGGGCACCACUAGGAGUGGAGCUUGUGGCUUAAUUUGACUCAACACGAAGAAACUUACCAUGUCCAGACAUAAUAAGGAUUGAUAGAUUGGGAGCUCUUUCUUGAUUCUAUGGGUGGUGGUGCAUGGUCGUUCUUAGUUGGUGGAGUUAUUUGUCUGGUUAAUUUCGAUAACAAAUGAGACUUCAAUGUGCUAACUAGCUACGUGGAGGUUCCCCUUCAUGGCCAGAUUAUUAGAUGGACUAUGGUUGUUUAGACCAUGGAAAUUUGAGGCAAUAACAGGCCUGUGAUGCCCUUAGAUGUUUUGGGAUGCAUGCGCGCUACACUGAUGUAGCCAAUGAGUUUUUCUUCUUAGUUUGAGAGGAUUGGAAAAUCUUUUCAAAUUGCAUCAUGAUGGGGAUGGACCAUUCCAAUUAUUGGUAUUCAAUGAGGAAUUCCUAGUAAGCGUGUGUCAUCUACUCGUGUUGACUACGUCCCUACCCUUUGUACACACCACCCGUCGCUCCUACAGAUUGAAUGAUUUGGUGAAGUGUUUGGAUUGCAUCGAUGAUGGUGGUUUGCUGCCAUCAUUGUCAUGAGAAGUUCAUUAAACCUUAUCAUUUAGAGGAAGGAGAAUUUGUAACAAGGUUACUGUAGGUGAACCUACGGUAG